GACUGGUUUACCGCUUACAUCAGAAGUGUUAUGUGGAGGCUGCGGAUACAGCUCAGGGAGUGAAAGUGUUUGCCACAUAAGCCAGACAACCUGAGUUUGAUCCCGAGAACCCACGUAAAAAGCUCCAUGAAAUGAUGUACACAUGUAAACCUCACACUUCUACAGUGAGGUGGGAGCUGGAGACAGGAGAAUCGCCAGAAGCUCAUGGGUCAGCUAGCCCAGUGUACAUAGCACAAGAGAGACCCUGCUUCAACCAUAGCUGAAGAUGAGAACUGUGAGCCAGAAGGACAUCUUUGUGCUCCAGCUCUCGUUCCAGAUCCACCUGGAAAACAGAGCAAAUCAGGAAAGUGUUUCUUCAGGCCAAGGGGCCAGGCAGGCCAGUGGCUGCUGCGUCCUGACCUGCUGGUAACUGGCAUCCGAGAGUUUGCGGAGUGCUUCUUCCAACUUGGCCUGCUGCUGCUGAAGGAGGCGGUCCUUCUGCCCGAGCUCUUUCUGCAACGGAGAUAAGCUUUCAGAGGUGUGGCAAACACAAGGCCAUCAAGUGGUUCACACUCUGUGAGACCUACCCUGGGAAAAGAAGAGCCUCGGGCACACAGGCUUUCUUCACUCUAUACCUGGAAGGCUUUCCGCACUCUAACAGUUUUAUAUGGUGCCAGGAUUCUUAGAAAGGCAAAAAGGGAGCAAACUGCCUGUACCAGGGAGGGCCGCUAUGGGCCAUUCUCUCUACUGAGAUAGAGGGCAUCCUUUUGAACUGAGAGAGUGUUUUCACACAGAGAAAAUCAAGGUGGCAGAGAGGCACACGACAGCCCCAUGAGUCACAACUCUGAGACACAAGCCUCAGCAAAACAAAGAUGUCUUCCUCAGCAUGUCUCUCUCACCCACCACAAAGCCCUUUCUAGACUCCUGGCACCAAGUCUGUUAAAGACUCCUAGGAAAUCCCAGUAGUCCCUGAGCCGAGUACCUGGCUCUCAACACUCACUAAUAGAUCACUCUACCUCACAGAGGCUUACGAAACAUAAAAUAAAAAAGAGAAAGAAUUGAAUGUCUUCCUUUUACCUUUAUCCCCUGUAAGUUUCUGGCAUCCUGUUUGCAUUUCAGCAGCUCUUUCUAUAAACCAAAUACAGUGAGAUCAGAUGGUGGCAUCUGAGUUGCUUCAUAAGCAUUACCUCAUUCUGUCAGCAAGAAGACAAAACCCAGUUGGCCAUUCCAUGAAGAUUAACCCAUCAGCCGAGGUACAAAGCAGAUGGAGUCCUGAAAGCAGUAAAGACUGACCCUUGGAAACAAGACUAAGACCCCUCUGUCCUCUGUGGCACUCACUGCUGAGCGGCCCAGGUAGAGAAGACUCGUGCUGAGGAAGAAGACACCCCAUCCAGCCCUAAAGGCUCUCCACCAACAGGAAAACCUGACCACAUCAUCUAA
Long non-coding RNA from Peromyscus eremicus (cactus mouse), 1419 nucleotides. RefSeq lists it as uncharacterized. The transcript has 3 exons. Lineage: Eukaryota; Metazoa; Chordata; Mammalia; Rodentia; Cricetidae. The record is from RefSeq and is a predicted model, not a curated record.